UCCCCUACGGGAGGCAGCAGUGAGGAAUAUUGGUCAAUGGGCGGAAGCCUGAACCAGCCAAGUCGCGUGAGGGAUUAAGGCCCUAUGGGUCGUAAACCUCUUUUGUCAGGGAGCAAUUGGCGCUACGUGUAGCGUUAUCGAGAGUACCUGAAAAAAAAGCAUCGGCUAACUCCGUGCCAGCAGCCGCGGUAAUACGGAGGAUGCGAGCGUUAUCCGGAUUUAUUGGGUUUAAAGGGUGCGUAGGCGGAAUGCCAAGUCAGCGGUAAAAUCGCGGGGCUCAACCUCGC
Molecule: ribosomal RNA, 287 nt
Filed under: uncultured bacterium
Lineage: Bacteria
Description: partial 16S ribosomal RNA
Rfam family: Bacterial small subunit ribosomal RNA
Source: RNAcentral